GUAGUUAUAUUUUUUAUAACGCACACACAUAAUUUGUGUUGUGUCCCGUGCUACUACAGUGUUUGUGAACGCUCCAAAUUAAUCGGACUCUUUAACAGUGCCGUCAGUGGACGGAAAAUCUUUAUUUGUUUUUUUUUUUUUGUUACUGGCUGAAAAAAUUCCGAAAAAUUAACCGUCUCGAUAAGUCGUUCGCGUCUUGUUUGUUGAAGGCCGCGGUCGUCGUAUAUUUGUUUUUUCCUCGCGAGUUUGUGAAAUAUCGCGUGUCUCG
Cinara cedri is the source of this 268-nucleotide non-coding RNA. NCBI's taxonomy places the organism in Eukaryota, Metazoa, Arthropoda, Insecta, Hemiptera, Aphididae. The record is from the annotation of a GenBank genome assembly.